This 401-nucleotide ribosomal RNA is filed under the name uncultured bacterium. Its description in RNAcentral is "bacterial SSU rRNA". It matches the Rfam family "Bacterial small subunit ribosomal RNA", at positions 28 to 413 of the family's 1533-position model. The record is from RNAcentral.
GACGAACGCUGGCGGCGUGCUUAACACAUGCAAGUGGAGCGACGAACCAGGCUUCGGCCUGGGGCAGAGCCGCGAACGGGUGAGUAACACGUGGGUAACCUGCCCUGAUGAUUGGGACAACCCGAGGAAACUCGGGCUAAUACCAAAUGUCGCCCUCCGGCCGUAAGGCCUCGUGGGGAAAGGAAGCUUCGGCCUCCGCAGUCGGGAUGGGGCCCGCGGCCCAUUAGCUUGUUGGUGAGGUAACGGCUCACCAAGGCUACGAUGGGUAGCUGGUCUGAGAGGACGAUCAGCCACACUGGGACUGAGACACGGCCCAGACUCCGUACGGGAGGCAGCAGUGGGGAAUCGUUGCGCAAUGCGACGAAGCGUGACGCAGCAACCGCCGCGGUAGGGGGAAGAAC